RNAcentral lists this ribosomal RNA (300 nucleotides) under uncultured Escherichia sp. RNAcentral describes it as "bacterial SSU rRNA". It matches the Rfam family "Bacterial small subunit ribosomal RNA", at positions 63 to 359 of the family's 1533-position model. The record is from RNAcentral. Lineage: Bacteria; Pseudomonadati; Pseudomonadota; Gammaproteobacteria; Enterobacterales; Enterobacteriaceae.
CGAACGGUAACAGGAAGCAGCUUGCUGCUUCGCUGACGAGUGGCGGACGGGUGAGUAAUGUCUGGGAAGCUGCCUGAUGGAGGGGGAUAACUACUGGAAACGGUAGCUAAUACCGCAUAAUGUCGCAAGACCAAAGAGGGGGACCUUCGGGCCUCUUGCCAUCGGAUGUGCCCAGAUGGGAUUAGCUUGUUGGUGGGGUAACGGCUCACCAAGGCGACGAUCCCUAGCUGGUCUGAGAGGAUGACCAGCCACACUGGAACUGAGACACGGUCCAGACUCCUACGGGAGGCAGCAGAAGGG